This 253-nucleotide ribosomal RNA is filed under the name uncultured bacterium. RNAcentral describes it as "partial 16S ribosomal RNA". It matches the Rfam family "Bacterial small subunit ribosomal RNA", at positions 524 to 776 of the family's 1533-position model. The record is from RNAcentral.
UACGGAGGAUCCAAGCGUUAUCCGGAUUCACUGGGUUUAAAGGGUGCGUAGGUGGAAUGACAAGUCAGUGGUGAAAACCUGCAGCUUAACUGUAGAACUGCCAUUGAUACUGUUAUUCUUGAGUACAUUUGAUGUGAGUGGAAUGUGUCGUGUAGCGGUGAAAUGCUUAGAUAUGACACAGAACACCAAUUGCGAAGGCAGCUCACAAAACUGUAACUGACACUGAGGCACGAAAGCGUGGGGAGCAAACAGG